GCUCGGGUGGCGGAAUGGUAGACGCGUACGUUUGAGGGGCGUAUGGGGUAACCUGUGGGGGUUCGAGUCCCCCCCCGAGCA
RNAcentral lists this transfer RNA (81 nucleotides) under Verrucomicrobiota bacterium. RNAcentral's name for it is "tRNA-Leu". It matches the Rfam family "tRNA". Rfam says of the family: Transfer RNA (tRNA) molecules are approximately 80 nucleotides in length. Their secondary structure includes four short double-helical elements and three loops (D, anti-codon, and T loops). Further hydrogen bonds mediate the characteristic L-shaped molecular structure. tRNAs have two regions of fundamental functional importance: the anti-codon, which is responsible for specific mRNA codon recognition, and the 3' end, to which the tRNAs corresponding amino acid is attached (by aminoacyl-tRNA synthetases). tRNAs cope with the degeneracy of the genetic code in two manners: having more than one tRNA (with a specific anti-codon) for a particular amino acid; and 'wobble' base-pairing, i.e. permitting non-standard base-pairing at the 3rd anti-codon position. The record is from RNAcentral. RNAcentral also lists the same sequence under 1 other name. Lineage: Bacteria; Pseudomonadati; Verrucomicrobiota.